CGUGAUACGAGAUGCUACGGCGUCGAAGCAGUCUAUGUCAUACUUCCAAGAAAAGCUUGCACUGUCAUAAACAAAUAAUGCCUGUACCAUAACCGACACAGGUGGGUAGGUAGAGUAUACUAAGGGGCGCGAGAUAACUCUCUCUAAGGAACUCGGCAAAAUGACUCCGUAACUUCGGGAGAAGGAGUGCCUUAUUUAUAAGGUUGCAAUAACAAGAUCCAAGCAACUGUUUACCAAAAACACAGGUCUCCGCUAAGUCGUAAGACGAUGUAUGGGGGCUGACGCCUGCCCAGUGCCAGAAGGUUAAAGAAGUUGGUUAGCAUCCGCGAAGCUGAUAACUGAAGCCCUGGUGAACGGCGGCCGUAACUAUAACGGUCCUAAGGUAGCGAAAUUCCUUGUCGGGUAAGUUCCGACCCGCACGAAAGGCGUAAUGAUUUGGAUACUGUCUCGGAGAGGGGCUCGGUGAAAUAGACUUGUCUGUGAAGAUGCGGACUACCUGCACCAGGACAGAAAGACCCUAUGAAGCUUUACUGUAACCUGAAAUUGAAAUUGGACUUUACUUGCGCAGUAUAGGUGGGAGGCGUUGAGAAUAUUCUUGCGGGAUUAUUGGAGCCAUCAGUGAGAUACCACUCUUGUAAUGUUAGAUUUCUAACUUUGUAUCAUUAUCUGGUCAAAGAACAGUUUCAGGCGGGCAGUUUGACUGGGGCGGUCGCCUCCUAAACGGUAACGGAGGCGCACAAAGGUUUCCUCUGAACGGGUAGAAAUCGUAUCUAGAGUGUAAAGGCAUAAGGAAGCUUGACUGUGAGACCUACAAGUCGAGCAGGGACGAAAGUCGGUCUUAGUGAUCUGACGGUGCUGAGUGGAAAGGCCGUCACUCAACGGAUAAAAGUUACUCUAAGGAUAACAGGCUGAUCUCCCCCAAGAGUUCACAUCGACGGGGAGGUUUGGCACCUCGAUGUCGGCUCAUCGCAUCCUGGGGCGGUAGUACGUCCCAAGGGUUGGGCUGUUCGCCCAUGAAAGCGGUACGCGAGCUGGGUUCAGAACGUCGUGAGACAGUUCGGUCCAUAUCCGGUGUAGGCGUUAGAAUAUUGAGAGGAGCCUUCUUUAGUACGAGAGGACCGAGAAGGACAUACCUCUGGUGUACCAGUUAUCGUGCCAACGGUAAACGCUGGGUAGCUAUGUGUGGAGUGGAUAACCGCUGAAAGCAUCUAAGUGGGAAGCCCACCUCAAGAUAAGUAUUCUCAAC
This 1246-nucleotide ribosomal RNA is filed under the name metagenome. Its description in RNAcentral is "bacterial LSU rRNA". It matches the Rfam family "Bacterial large subunit ribosomal RNA", at positions 1562 to 2818 of the family's 2925-position model. The record is from RNAcentral.